UCUGCAAGGAUGUGGGUUUGAUCCUUUGCCUCAGUCCGUUGGUUAAGGAUCCAGCAUUUUUUUUUGCAAACUGCAGCAUAGGUUGCAGCUGUGACUCUGAUUCUGUGUUGUCGUGGCUGUGGCAUAGGCCUCAACUGCAGCUCUGAUUCAGCCCCUGGCCUGGGAACUUCCAUAUGCCACAGGUGUGGCUGUAAAAAGAAAAAAAAAAAUAUGGAUUUGGCAUGUAAGGCUCUUGGGUCAUUUAUUGUGAAGGAUCAACUAAUUUCAGUUUAGGUGUCUUUUUUUAAUCCACAAUACCUAGUUUUUUUCUCUGCUAGCUAGCUGUGUUGAUUGCACCUGCCUGGUAUAUACUGAGAACCAGGCAUGGUGCUUCUGCAAAGGUCCCAGCACAUUCCUGUAGAUUCACAGGCAACUAAGUAGUAAGAGGAGCUAUUUGAGGAAGAUUAUUUGAUAACACCGUGGACUGAGCAGGAGAGGGGAGCUGGGAGACAGGAAAGGAGAGGCUGCUGCAGUGACCAGCAACUUUAGCCACAGGACGCCCCCGGGCCCCUGAAUCUGGCUCCCCCUGCCAAUCUAGCCCCUGUCUCGCACAAAGCAUGUCCCUCAACAGUUUCCAGUAUAGUCACAUCCAUUCCUUCUCUCAUUAGUCCCAGUAGCCAAAUGCUCUGGGUCCAAAAAUCUCCCCUGGGAGUUUCUGUCGUGUCUCAGUGGUUAACGAACCCAACUAGCAUCCAUGAGGAUGCAGGUUCAAUUCCUGGUCUCUCCCAGUGGGUUAAGGAUACAGCAUUGCUGUGAGCUGUGGUGUAGGUCAAAGCUGAGGCUCGGAUCCCACAUUCCUGUGGCUGUGGCAUAGGUCAGCGGCUACAGCUUCAAUUGGACCUCUAGCCUGGGAACCUCCAUAUGCUGCAGGUGAGGCCCUAAAAAGACAAAAAGACAAAAACAAACAAACAAAAAAUUCCCCUGAGUUCUCAUGACUUGUCCAUACCCACUGCUAGCAACCACCCACACUGGUAAAUCUUGUAAUUCCAGGCUGUGCUACUUGAGUCCUAGUUCAUAUACCUGGUAAGCUAUAUAUGCCUGGCACUGUCCUUAGAGGUCAAAUGUUCUAGAAGUCUGCAACCAAUUUUAGCAAAUAAACUCUCUUCAUCCAAUGAAAUCUUUGGGAAAUCGAUAUAAACAGAUGAAAAGAGAGUAAUGGAUUCCCUUGGGAGUUCACAGUUUCCUAAUUUAUGGAAAAUUUCUGACUGCUGUGGAAUGGAUGAGGUACCUCCAUAAAGCCCCACGUUUCCCCCGAAACCAUUUGAAAACCACAGAUCUCUCCAAACUCUUCACUUUACAGAUGAGGAAGUGAGCAACAAAGGGAACUAACCAAAAGCACACACGCAGAAUGCAAGAUCUGAGAGGGAACUCUGGUAUCUUGGCACCUUUUUUUAAAAAAAAUAAAAAUUAAAAUUGAUUUAUAGUGUUGUGCCAUUUUCUGCUGUACAGCGUAGUGACCCAAUCAUAUAUAGAUAUACACACACAUUCUUUUUCUCAUAGUAUUUAUCAUCAUAUUUUAUCCCAAGAGAUUGGAUAUAAUUCCCUGUGCUGUACAGUAGGACCUUAUUACUUUACAUCCAUUCUAAAUGUAAUAGUGCAUUUACCAACCCCAAACUCCUCUGGAAUGGAAUGAGUUUAUUAGCUGUUUAAGGAAGUGCUUCUCAAGUGGGUUCCAGAGAGCACCUUUCAAAAUGUUCUUUGAAAAGUAGAUCACAAGGCUCAAAUACAUUUUGGAAAUGCCCUCCUACAAUCUCCUGUAGCUGACUCUCAGAGCAUAUUAAUAUGCUUGAGACUCUGAGAAAUCCCACACAACAGAAAGCUGUUUAUCUUUGCUUCCUCCAGUAACCCCCCAACUUUUUUCUAAGUACUCCCUUUUUCUUUUUUUGGUCUUUUUUUUGUCUUUUUAGGGCCACACCCAUGGCAUUUGGAGGUUCCCAGGCUAGGGGUCCAAUUGGAGCUGUUGCUGCCAGCCUACACCAGAUCCGAGCUGCAUCUGUGACCUACACCACAGCUCAUGGCAGGGCCAGAUCCUUAACCCACUGAGCAAGGCCAGGGGUUGAACACAACCUGAUGGUUCCUAGUUGGAUUUGUUUCUUCUGCCCCACAACAUGAACUCCAGGACUCCCUUUUUCUAGAUCUACUUGCAUUCUGCUUAGCUAUUGCCAAUCACUUGUGAUGGAAUAUGAUGGAGGACAAUGUGAGAAAAAGAAUGUACGUAUGUGUUUGACUGGGUCACUUUGUGUACAGCAGAAAUUGACAGAACAUUGUAAAUCAACUAUAAUAAAAAUUUUUUUAGGAGUUCCCGUCGUGGCUCAGUGGAAACUAACCUGACUAGUACCUAUGAGGAUGCAGGUUCAAUCCCUGGCCUCGCUUAGUGGGUUAAGGAUCCAGUGUUGCCAUGAGCUGUGGUAAAGGUCGCAGAUGCAACUCAGAUCCCGCAUCACUGUGGCUGUGGUGCAGGCUGGCAGCUAUGCUCUGAUUUGACCCCUAGCCUGGGAACUUCCAUAUG
This 2548-nucleotide long non-coding RNA is filed under the name Sus scrofa (pig). RNAcentral describes it as "lncRNA (ENSSSCG00000062617.1)". The record is from RNAcentral. Lineage: Eukaryota; Metazoa; Chordata; Mammalia; Artiodactyla; Suidae.